UGAGUGCGAGCUGCUACGGCAGCGAAGUUGGUGACGUCAUGCUUCCAAGAAAAGCCCUAUACCCGUUAAGGCAUCAUGGCCUGUACCCGAAACCGACACAGGUGGGGUGGUAGAGAAUACCGAGGGGCGCGAGGUAACUCUCUCUAAGGAACUCGGCAAAAUGGCCCCGUAACUUCGGGAGAAGGGGUGCCACCGCAAGGUGGUCGCAGUGAAGAGGCCCAGGCGACUGUUUACCAAAAACACAGGUCUCCGCUAAGUCGCAAGACGAUGUAUGGGGGCUGACGCCUGCCCAGUGCCGGAAGGUUAAGGAAGCUGGUCAGCGCAAGCGAAGCUAGCGACUGAAGCCCCGGUAAACGGCGGCCGUAACAAUAACGGUCCUAAGGUAGCGAAAUUCCUUGUCGGGUAAGUUCCGACCCGCACGAAAGGCGUAACGAUCUGGGCGCUGUCUCGGAGAGAGGCUCGGCGAAAUAGAAUUGUCUGUGAAGAUGCGGACUACGUGCACCCGGACAGAAAGACCCUAUGAAGCUUUACUGUAGCUUGGUAUUGUGCCCGGGCUCGCAAUGCGCAGGAUAGGUGGGAGGCUUUGAUCAUCGGCUUGCGGGUCGAUGUGAGCCAACGGUGAGAUACCACUCUUUGCGAGCUAGGGUUCUAACGGCCACCCGUCAUCCGGGGGCCGGACAGUACCUGGUGGGCAGUUUGACUGGGGCGGUCGCCUCCUAAAAGGUAACGGAGGCGCGCAAAGGUUUGCUCAGGCUGGUUGGAAAUCAGCCGACGAGUGUAAAAGCAGAAGCAAGCUUGACUGUGAGACCAACAAGUCGAACAGGGAGGAAACUCGGCUUUAGUGAUCCGACGGUUCUGAGUGGAAGGGCCGUCGCUCAACGGAUAAAAGUUACUCUAAGGAUAACAGGCUGAUCUCCCCCAAGAGUUCACAUCGACGGGGAGGUUUGGCACCUCGAUGUCGGCUCAUCGCAACCUGGGGCUGAAGUCGGUCCCAAGGGUUGGGCUGUUCGCCCAUUAAAGCGGUACGCGAGCUGGGUUCAGAACGUCGUGAGACAGUUCGGUCCAUAUCCGGUGCACGCGCAGGAAUAUUGAGAGGAUUUCUCCCUAGUACGAGAGGACCGGGAGGAGCGCACCUCUGGUGUACCAGUUAUCGUGCCAACGGUAAACGCUGGGUAGCCAUGUGCGGAGUGGAUAGCCGCUGAAAGCAUCUAAGUGGGAAGCCCACCUCAAGAUGAGUAUUCCCAUGGCGUAAGCCAGUAAGGUCACGGGAAGAACACCCGUUGAUAGGCUCUAUGUGGAAGCGCAGUAAUGCGUGAAGCAGAGGAGUACUAAUAGACCGAGGGCUUGACC
Molecule: ribosomal RNA, 1350 nt
Filed under: metagenome
Description: bacterial LSU rRNA
Rfam family: Bacterial large subunit ribosomal RNA
Source: RNAcentral